GAUAGCCUCCGAUCCUAACAUGAUUUCUAUAACGUUUUCAUAUGAUUUGCACUCAUUUUAUAAAUAUACAAAAAUCCAUGGAGGGGAAUAGUGCCAGGCAGCUGCCUGACACUUCUCCAUUGACCCGAACAAAUUAUGAUUUUACCCAGCUUAGAAUUACACGAUUUGGACCCCGGUUAAUAUACAAAAUCCAUGGAGGGGAGUAGUCAGGCAGCCUGACACUUUCCCGUUGGCCCGAACAAAUUACGAUUUUACCCCAGCUUAGAAUUACGAUUUGCCCCCCAGUUCAAAAUUCCAGUCUUACCAUCGUUGAAGAUUUCGACAAAUUACGAUUUUACCCCAGUCAAAUUUACAAUUUUGCCCUCAGUUCAAAAUUACAAUGUUGCCACCGUUGUAGCUUUUGACAAAUUAUGAUUAUAGCCAUUAUACCCCAGUUGAACUUACGAUUUAUCCCCGGUUCAGAAUUACAGUCUUUUCAUCGGUUUCGUUUUUUUUUUCUAGCAAAACUUUGAUAGUGUUUUGUUUUAAUUGGUAGAGAAAUAUUCGGUCUAGCGCCCCGUAAUACGGGCGGGGCGUAAAACUAGUUCAUUUACAUAUAUAAUAUCUAUUUAGUUAUAUGCAAUUAACACUUAAUCAUGUUUAAUUAGUGUAACACCCCGAAAACAGGUUUGGAAAUUAAACCCCGUUAAUACUAAAGACGGGGAAAGUACCGUUAGCGGUAAAAGUAAACCGGAAAAUAUUAGGAAUCAAAUGAAUAAUCCUAAUAUUAAUUAAAAGUGAAGAAGAGCUUCCAGGAAAAUAGAAUGGAUAAAAGGCCCGAUUUAACGGGACUUGAAAUAAAACGGGUUUUAACUCCCGGAACCCACUAAGUUAACUAGGUAAAAUUAACCUAGUUAGUAAUGAGUAACUAAAUAAUAAACUAUGGGUUAUAGUUUCAUUUAUGAAUCUCUAAACUUGAGGGGCUAAACAUGGGCAACUAGAGAAGUGUUUUAUUAAAACACUUAAAUAAAAAAAAAAUAAAACACAUACAUGUGUGUACGUAUGCGAUCAGAAGAAGGAGCCAGGAGAGCUCAAACCCUAGUUCAACAAAUCCUCCAAAUCGAAGCUCAAAUCAAGCCCGAAUCGUCUGCGUGAUUACAAAUUCGUGAUCGCCUAGUCGUGGGGAUCAUAAGUUUGACUCUGACAAGCUAGGUAGGAGCUUGGAAAUGAACGGGUCAAAUGUAUACAAGUUCAAGUAUGAAGCUCGCAAGGAUGCAAGGUAAGUAUAACUUACACUAGUCAUAUAUUUUAGAAUGUUCUUUUUUCGUAUUGACUACGAAUAAGACAAUGGUAAUUUAGUCACACGUUGACAAUAAUCGUCAGUUUUAAAAGACGCUUUCCCGCGUAAGACAUAAAGAGCCGAAAGUGGUAAUAAACAGUUUAUAAAUAAAAUGAGCAUACGGUGUUAAAAGGAGUGAGUCAUGUAGAUGAGAUGAUAAUAAAUAUUAUCUCGCAAAGAUAAACGGUCAAUUCGGCCAAACGGGUCAAAAGGUGUAGACAUCACCUUUUGACAAUAUCGACUAAUGAUUCUGGUGUCGAGUUAUAUGUUUACAGGAGUAGAUAUCCAAUGGAUACUCGCAUCACUCUUAAUUAGCAAUUAUAAAGCAAGGUACAUUUUGGAUGCCGGAAGACGAUCAAGCUCAUUGGAGAACCGAACACGAUAAAGAUACAUGCUUCCGCACAGUGUCCCGUCGUAAAUUUAAACGACGAAUUCAAUUACGUUAUGUCGAAUAACUUAUGAUUUGUAAAAGUUUUAAUAAACCCAUAUUUUUAUAGUAUGUGUAGUCUUAUCUACACAACUAAUUGUUGGUAAUUAUAUGUAAAACCGUUAAAUAGUAAUUAGGGUGUUACAAUUAGAGGUGGCAAUCUUGACCUAAAGGCUUUCAAGUGGGUUAGUUUGGGUUGCUUUUAAAAUUAUAUGGGUUAGUUUGGGUAAGAUAUUUUAACUAAACGGCUCACAACGGGUCAAUUAAAAUUUCACCUUGUUAUUUUCGGGUCAAAGCAGGUCGACAACUUUAAAGAAAUGGGUCGAUGUGGGUUAGCCCCUUAAAGUGGGUUAGUUUGGGUUGCUUUUAAAAUUAUAUGGGUUGGCACUAUCGUUGAUUCGUGUGUCGUGAUGAUGGGUGCACAAGAGAGAGGUGACAAUGAUGAGGUGGAACGGUUGAAGGAAAAAGUAGCGGAGUUGGAACAAGAUAAGAUAGAGAAACAUGCUAUGAUGGAGAAAAUUGAACAAGGUGCGAGGUUGUAUGCCGAAAUGAAUGAGAAAAUUCAAAUGUUAUCACAAAACCCGCCACCAACUUAAAAUGCAUUGAAUUUUAUUAUAUUGCUUUUAGAUGAUUUGGAUUUCUAUCGUGUUAGGUUUCGUAAUGUUUGAAUUAUUAG
This is a long non-coding RNA of Helianthus annuus (common sunflower), 2421 nucleotides long. RefSeq lists it as uncharacterized. Lineage: Eukaryota; Viridiplantae; Streptophyta; Magnoliopsida; Asterales; Asteraceae. The transcript has 4 exons. The record is from RefSeq and is a predicted model, not a curated record.